Molecule: ribosomal RNA, 450 nt
Filed under: uncultured bacterium
Lineage: Bacteria
Description: partial 16S ribosomal RNA
Rfam family: Bacterial small subunit ribosomal RNA
Source: RNAcentral
AACGAACGCUGGCGGCAUGCCUAACACAUGCAAGUCGAACGAUGCUUUCGGGCAUAGUGGCGCACGGGUGCGUAACGCGUGGGAAUCUGCCCUUGGGUUCGGAAUAACAGUUGGAAACGACUGCUAAUACCGGAUGAAGACGAAAGUCCAAAGAUUUAUCGCCUGAGGAUGAGCCCGCGUACGAUUAGGUAGUUGGUGGGGUAAAGGCCUACCAAGCCGACGAUCUUUAGCUGUUCUGAGAGGAUGAUCAGCCACACUGGGCACUGAGACACGGCCCAGACUCCUACGGGGGGCAGCAGUGGGAAAUAUUGGACAAUGGGCGAAAGCCUGAUCCAGCAAUGCCGCGUGAGUGAUGAAGGCCUUAGGGUUGUAAAGCUCUUUUACCCGGGAUGAUAAUGACAGUACCGGGAGAAUAAGCCCCGGCUAACUCCGUGCCAGCCGCCGCAGUAA